AUUGAACGCUGGCGGCAGGCCUAACACAUGCAAGUCGAACGGUAACGGGAAGCAGCUUGCUGCUUCGCUGACGAGUGGCGGACGGGUGAGUAAUGUCUGGGAAGCUGCCUGAUGGAGGGGGAUAACUACUGGAAACGGUAGCUAAUACCGCAUAAUGUCGCAAGACCAAAGAGGGGGACCUUCGGGCCUCUUGCCAUCGGAUGUGCCCAGAUGGGAUUAGCUUGUUGGUGGGGUAACGGCUCACCAAGGCGACGAUCCCUAGCUGGUCUGAGAGGAUGACCAGCCACACUGGAACUGAGACACGGUCCAGACUCCUACGGGAGGCAGCAGUGGGGAAUAUUGCACAAUGGGCGCAAGCCUGAUGCAGCCAUGCCGCGUGUAUGAAGAAGGCCUUCGGGUUGUAAAGUACUUUCAGCGGGGAGGAAGGGAGUAAAGUUAAUACCUUUGCUCAUUGACGUUACCCGCAGAAGAAGCACCGGCUAACUCCGUG
RNAcentral lists this ribosomal RNA (490 nucleotides) under uncultured bacterium. Its description in RNAcentral is "partial 16S ribosomal RNA". It matches the Rfam family "Bacterial small subunit ribosomal RNA", at positions 30 to 507 of the family's 1533-position model. The record is from RNAcentral.